UGUUGGGCAAUUAAUUAACUGAACUGCAUUUGUGGUCAUUGUUUCAGUUCAUCUUGCAGUCGAUAGUUCUAUUUGUACAUGGUAUGUACAGGCUGCACUCUUCCUAGCAUUCCACAGGCCUUGGUGUAUGCAUUAUGAAUUAAGGAAAAUAUACUGACAUAAGUCUCCUUAAGAAGACCUGGAUUAAUUCUAGCUACACUUUGAGUGACUGAGGAUAACAAACCAGCCCUUUUAGGUCUCAGUUUGUAGAAUUAUAGGUUGGAGUAUGUGUUUUCUAAGAACCUUUAUGUACCCAACGGUCUAGUAGAUUUAUGAAUUAUGGUGGUUCAUUAAGUCUUUGAUAUGUAAUUGGAAUGGAGCCAUCAGCUACAUAUAAUUGACAAUCACCUAUUGAAAAGAGAUCAAUAAGUGGUCGGCUGUGUUGAAGACGUAUGCUUUAGCCAGGCGGUGUGUCUGUAGAUGCCUGCAUUUCGUGGCCUAAAUACUAUUAUCAAUUUCUGCUCAACUCUAUUACGCAUCUGGUUCCAAGGUGACUCAGUGGCAAUGGCCAGCUCAGCUCUAUAAAUAUGUGAGGACAUUACUUAAGCUUUUGAUUAGUGAGUGGGCUUAAGUGACCCAAAGGAGGCUGGCAUUUAUUUAUAGCCUUUGUGUUCUGUUUUGUUUGAUAGGAUGAUGGGGCUACAGUUAUGGUGGCUAGCGUUUAUUUAUUUACUUAGGUGGUUGUGUUUUGAAGAGCCAGGAUUCAGAGGAAAUAAAUAAAGCUUCACUAGCGUAAAGAUACUGUUUAGAGGGUUCUCAGAUCACCGUGAUAAUUAUGGGGUAGCCUGCACUGCCUUGGUAGUGCUGAGCUAGACAGUGCCCCCAUGUGUCCUUGAACAUGUGGAUGUGGUGCUCACUCUGCCCCAUCUGGGCCGGAUAUUCUCCUCUCCCCUACAGUCUCCCCACCCCAUUCUCCAUUGUUCUCAAGGGCUGGCCGCCUCCUCCGUCUUUCAUGGCACAGCACCCUUUGGUGGGGAAAGUGGCCCUGUCAGCAGCCGCAAGACUGUGGUGGGUUUGCCAGGAUGGAGCCAUGGCGACGACCUUCUGAAAGGAAGGAACAAGUACAGUGAAGAUGUAGAACUCAGCUCCUCCUGCACCAUGCCUGCCUGGAUGUCGCAAUGCUGCCACGUUCCCACCUUGAUGAUAAUGGAACCUCUGAACCGCUUUAGGCAGUCCCUUUGAAAGUUUCCUUCAACCACCAAAAGGGGGCUCGACCUGCAAGUUGAGAACCAUUUGAUGUACAUGAAUUUAUAUAAGAAAUCUAGCAUGGCUGUCAUCUGAGAGGCUCUACCAGCAGCUAACUGAGACAGAAGCAGAUACUUAGAGCCAGCCAUUGAACUGAGGUCAAGCACUCCUAUGGAAGAGUGAGGGGAAGAACUGAAGGAGGUAAAGGGGAUGACAACCCCAGAGGAAGAACAUUCCCUGGACCCCUGGGAGCUCACAGAGACUAAGCCACCCACCAACCAAAGCAUACAUGAGCUUCUCCAUCGUCAGUGGCACAUGCGUAGCAGAGGACUAACUUGUCUGGCCUCAGUGGGAGAGGGUGCACCUAUCCUGUAGAGACUUGAUGCUCCAGAGAACAGAGAUGUCUGGAGGAGAAGAUGGGGCGAGGUGGAUGGGUGUGAGUGUGUGGAAGAACAUUCAGACGCAAUGACUAGGGGAGUGUGGAUGGGGUGAAGCAUUCUGGGAAGGGAAACCUGGAGGGGGACAUUUGAAAUAUUAAUUAAUUAAUUAAUUAAUUAAUUAAUUAAUUAAAAAAGAAGUUUCCACUUAGUAA
Molecule: non-coding RNA, 1816 nt
Organism: Rattus norvegicus (Norway rat)
Lineage: Eukaryota; Metazoa; Chordata; Mammalia; Rodentia; Muridae
Source: RefSeq, a predicted model, not a curated record